This 460-nucleotide ribosomal RNA is filed under the name uncultured bacterium. RNAcentral's name for it is "partial 16S ribosomal RNA". It matches the Rfam family "Bacterial small subunit ribosomal RNA", at positions 338 to 795 of the family's 1533-position model. The record is from RNAcentral.
CCUACGGGAGGCAGCAGUGAGGAAUAUUGGUCAAUGGGCGAGAGCCUGAACCAGCCAAGUCGCGUGAGGGAAGACGGUCCUAUGGAUUGUAAACCUCUUUUGUCGGGGAGCAAAAGACGCCACGCGUGGCGUUCCGAGAGUACCCGAAGAAAAAGCAUCGGCUAACUCCGUGCCAGCCGCCGCGGUAAUACGGAGGAUGCGAGCGUUAUCCGGAUUUAUUGGGUUUAAAGGGUGCGCAGGCGGAAGCUCCAUGUCAGCGGUAAAAUGGCGGGGCCAACCCUCUCGGAGCCGUUGAAACUGGUCGUCUUGAGUGAGCGAGAAGUAUGCGGAAUGCGUGGUGUAGCGGUGAAAUGCAUAGAUAUCACGCAGAACUCCGAUUGCGAAGGCAGCAUACCGGCGCUCAACUGACGCUGAUGCACGAAAGUGUGGGGAUCGAACAGGAUUAGAUACCCGUGUAGUC